CUAAUUAACCUAUACGACAAUAGUAUGCUCCGACUUCAGAAUCACGCACAUGGAAUGGAAGAUGCCCAACGACGUAUAAUAAGCCGGUCAAAUGAGGGGUACUACUUUUCUUUACGCCUUAUUAAGUUGGUGAUUUUUUUUUGUUUUAGUUAUUGUAGCAUUUUCUGUUUGUAUUUGGUAAUUAUUAUCUAAUUAUAAACUAACUAGUUUAAAAAUAUCGUCUUAUAAAUUGCAAGUAAUUUGUAAGUAAAUUGUAUAUUUUUUUUAUCUAUAUUUAAUAUUCUAUACAUACGUCUAAAGAUUUAAUAUGACGAUAAUUUUUUUAAAAAAAUAGAAGCUUGUCAGAGCAUUCUCGUGAAUUUGACUUGCGUUCCAAGAGCUGGCAGUUGCAGCCCGGCACAGGUGGAGUAUGAGUAGCAUCCAAGUAAGGGCCAUCCGUGGAACUUGCAAAAGCUAUAGGGUGCCAUCCGAAAAAAUAGUGAUAAUAAUAAUCACCGUGGUAAAAUCGGUAAUGUACGUUGCACUUGCACCCACGCGUAGUUAAAAAGGUAUUGUUUAGUUCACUUAAAAACAAAAAAAAAUUUCAAGAUUUUUCGUCACAUCGAAUCUUCGACACAUGCAUAAAGCAUUAAAUAUAAACGAAAAUAAAAACUAAUUGCACAGUUUACCUGUAAAUCAUGAGACGAAUCUUUUGAUCUUAAUUAGUCUAUGAUUGGACAAUAUUUUUGUCACAAACAAACGAAAAUACUAUAAUAGCGAAAUUCAAAAUCUUUUCGCAUCUAAACAAGGGCUUUGUUUAGUUCCCAAAAGAUUUUACAAAAUUUUUCAAAUUCCCCGUCACAUGAAAUCUUUAGACGUAUGCAUGAAGUAUUAAAUAUAGACGAAAAUAAAAACUAACUACAC
RNAcentral lists this long non-coding RNA (903 nucleotides) under Sorghum bicolor (sorghum). RNAcentral describes it as "long non-coding RNA (SBIC_LNC015371)". The record is from RNAcentral. Lineage: Eukaryota; Viridiplantae; Streptophyta; Magnoliopsida; Poales; Poaceae.